GCCCAAGAGAUCGGGAUAACACCUGGAAACAGAUGCUAAUACCGGAUAACAACAGAUGAUGCCUAUCAACUGUUUAAAAGAUGGUUCUGCUAUCACUCUUGGAUGGACCUGCGGUGCAUUAGCUAGUUGGUAGGGUAACGGCCUACCAAGGCGAUGAUGCAUAGCCGAGUUGAGAGACUGAUCGGCCACAUUGGGACUGAGACACGGCCCAAACUCCUACGGGAGGCAGCAGCC
This 234-nucleotide ribosomal RNA is filed under the name uncultured Lactobacillus sp. RNAcentral describes it as "partial 16S ribosomal RNA". It matches the Rfam family "Bacterial small subunit ribosomal RNA", at positions 128 to 355 of the family's 1533-position model. The record is from RNAcentral. Lineage: Bacteria; Bacillati; Bacillota; Bacilli; Lactobacillales; Lactobacillaceae.